RNAcentral lists this transfer RNA (75 nucleotides) under Bdellovibrionales bacterium. RNAcentral's name for it is "tRNA-Gln". It matches the Rfam family "tRNA". Rfam says of the family: Transfer RNA (tRNA) molecules are approximately 80 nucleotides in length. Their secondary structure includes four short double-helical elements and three loops (D, anti-codon, and T loops). The record is from RNAcentral. Lineage: Bacteria; Pseudomonadati; Bdellovibrionota; Bdellovibrionia; Bdellovibrionales.
UGGGGUAUCGUCAAGCGGUAAGACACAGGAUUUUGAUUCCUGCAUUCCUAGGUUCGAAUCCUAGUACCCCAACCA